This 294-nucleotide ribosomal RNA is filed under the name uncultured bacterium. RNAcentral describes it as "partial 16S ribosomal RNA". It matches the Rfam family "Bacterial small subunit ribosomal RNA", at positions 44 to 334 of the family's 1533-position model. The record is from RNAcentral.
GUGCUUAACACAUGCAAGUCGAGUGCGCGUGCCGUAGCAAUACGGUAUGGCGCACGGCGCACGGGUGCGUAACACGUGGGCAAUCUGCCCUCCGGUGGGGAAUAACCCCGCGAAAGCGGGGCUAAUUCCGCAUAACAUUCCCUGGACUCUGGUUCGGGGACUCAAAGCAGCAAUGCGCCGGAGGAGGAGCCCGCGCCCGAUUAGCUAGUUGGUGAGGUAACGGCUCACCAAGGCAAUGAUCGGUAGCUGGUCUGAGAGGAUGGCCAGCCACACUGGAACUGAGACACGGUCCAG